This 519-nucleotide ribosomal RNA is filed under the name uncultured eukaryote. Its description in RNAcentral is "bacterial SSU rRNA". It matches the Rfam family "Eukaryotic small subunit ribosomal RNA", at positions 1161 to 1662 of the family's 1831-position model. The record is from RNAcentral.
AGGGCACCACCAGGAGUGGAGCCUGCGGCUUAAUUUGACUCAACACGGGAAAACUCACCUGGCCAAGACACAAUAAGGAUUGACAGAUUGAUAGCUCUUUCUCGAUUUUGUGGGUGGUGGUGCAUGGCCGUUCUUAGUUGGGGGAGUGAUUUGUCUGGUUAAUUCCCGAUAACGAACGAGACUCUAGCCCUAUUAAAUAGACGUUAUACUUUUUUGUAAAGCGUCCUUCUUUAAGAGGGACAAGCAGCUUCCUAGCUGCGGCGAGAUGAGCAAUAUAACAGUCCCUGUGAUGUGCCUAGAGUAGUCCCGGGGCUCUGGCAGGCGGGCUCUAACAUGAGAAGUAGACCAUGUGUCGCUUGAUAUCAUAGUCUCUGAAAAGAGCCUGGGUUAACCACGGGAUUCAAUUUCUGUGCUUGGGAAUGAUGGAUUUGGUAUAUAUUUUCAUCUUGAACAGAGGAAUUCUCUAGUGAAGGUGUGGUCAACACAGUCUCGUUUAAUAACUUCCUGGCCCUUUGAAAA